AUCCCUGGCGAAUGACGCAAGUCGUUUGGAUGAGACGGAUGGAACUCCUAUACCAUUUGCUUCUUGGACACGGGGAAAUGUUCCAUCGUGAAUGAAAGUCCUCGACGCAGCCCGAGGUUCCGUUCUUUGUGCUGGAGGGCCUCGUGGAGGUAUUGAGUUCCCCGUAUCCAUCAUUUCGGACGAGCCGGGACCUCGGAGGAGCGCCGGCAGCGAUGUCUCCGCUAGCCAGCCGUAACUGACUCGGAGUGCAUUGUUUCCAGCGGGAAGCUCAGCGCCGUGGCCUAAAGGGCCGAAGAGCCUGUUGUGGAUCAGCCAGCCAGACAGUCCACGGUCAGCAGCUGCGGAGCACCUCUGCAAGCAGCUGUUUCUUCUCAGAGACCCAACCUCCCUCCACGGAUGCAACACAAAACAGAGUGUAAUGUCGAUGCUGUUCUUUGUCCGUGAAGACCGUUCUGACAGAAAGAGCCAACAUAAGGUAAUUUGAACACACACACGCACACAAAUCAAGAUUAGAC
Hippocampus zosterae (dwarf seahorse) is the source of this 515-nucleotide long non-coding RNA. RefSeq lists it as uncharacterized. The record is from RefSeq and is a predicted model, not a curated record. The transcript has 4 exons. NCBI's taxonomy places the organism in Eukaryota, Metazoa, Chordata, Actinopteri, Syngnathiformes, Syngnathidae.